AGCGGCAGGUUUAACACAUGCAAGUCGAGGGGCAGCAUGUCCCAGCAAUGGAUGAUGGCGACCGGCGGAAGGGUGCGUAACGCGUGAGCAACAUGCCCUAUACAGGGAGAUACACCAGGGAAACUUGGUCUAAUAUCCCAUAGCAUUCAUUGAAGGCAUCUUUAAUGAAUUAAAGCUUCGGUGGUAUAGGAUUGGCUCGCGUGACAUUAGCCAGAUGGUGAGGUAACGGCUCACCAUAGCAAUGAUGUCUAGGGGUUUUGAGAGGAAGGCCCCCCACACUGGGACUGAGACACGGCCCAGACUCCUACGGGAGGCAGCAGUGAGGAAUAUUGGACAAUGGAUGGAAAUCUGAUCCAGCCAUGCCGCGUGCAGGAAGACGGCCUUAUGGGUUGUAAACUGCUUUUAUACGGGAGCAAUAAGGGUUACGAGUAAUCCGAUGAGAGUACUGUAUGAAUAAGGAUCGGCUAACUCCGUGCCAGCAGCCGCGGUAAUACGGAGGAUCCGAGCGUUAUCCGGAAUUAUUGGGUUUAAAGGGUGCGUAGGCGGCCAUUUAAGUCAGCGGUGAAAUUUUGCAGCUUAACUGUAACAGUGCCGUUGAUACUGUUUGGCUAGGAUUUGGUUGUAGUGUGCGGAAUGUGUGGUGUAGCGGUGAAAUGCUUAGAUAUCACACAGAACACCGAUUGCGAAGGCAGCACACUAAGUCAUUAUUGACGCUGAGGCACGAAAGUGUGGGGAUCAAACAGGAUUAGAUACCCUGGUAGUCCACACUGUAAACGAUGAUAACUCGCUGUCGGCGAUACACAGUCGGGGCCAAGCGAAAGC
RNAcentral lists this ribosomal RNA (822 nucleotides) under uncultured bacterium. Its description in RNAcentral is "bacterial SSU rRNA". It matches the Rfam family "Bacterial small subunit ribosomal RNA", at positions 38 to 858 of the family's 1533-position model. The record is from RNAcentral.